GCAGCACGGGGGGGGGUGGGAGGGGGAAUACGGAGGGGGUGAAAGUGGGGCGGAAUCGUUGGGCGUAAAGCGCAAGUAGGAGGCGAGGAAAGUGGGGUGUGAAAGCCCUGGGCGCAACCCAGGAAGUGCAUUCAAAACUACCUUGCUUGAAUCUCGGAGGGGGUCAGAGAAUUCCCGGUGUAGAGGUGAAAUGCGUAGAUAUCGGGAGGAAUACCAGUGGCGAAGGCGCUGACCUGGACGAAGAUUGACGCUGAGGUGCGAAAGCGUGGGGAGCAAACAGGAUUAGAUACCCCAGUAGUC
Molecule: ribosomal RNA, 300 nt
Filed under: uncultured Larkinella sp.
Lineage: Bacteria; Pseudomonadati; Bacteroidota; Cytophagia; Cytophagales; Spirosomataceae
Description: partial 16S ribosomal RNA
Rfam family: Bacterial small subunit ribosomal RNA (bases 52-300)
Source: RNAcentral